Molecule: non-coding RNA, 3338 nt
Organism: Oryctolagus cuniculus (rabbit)
Lineage: Eukaryota; Metazoa; Chordata; Mammalia; Lagomorpha; Leporidae
Source: RefSeq, a predicted model, not a curated record
CCGUGCGUAGGCGCACAGGAGGACGCUCCAGGCUCCGGCCCCGCUCUUCCGAGCCGAGCCGAGGCAGCGGGGUCUGUGCGGCGGCGUCUCGCGGUCCUUAUUCGCCACGCCCGGCGCUUCGGUCGGCACUCAGAGCUGCAGGCCCGGUCUGCAGCACCCAUAUCCUCCCUUCGCCGGAGCUGUUUAGGCCACGGGGCCCAUGGGGUCCCCCAGGCUCCUUCAAAACACCACUCACUGUCUUCCUGUGCCCACUGCGCCCCGCACGAAUAACCAAACAGUAAAACUCGGCCUCCUGUGCUUGGCCACGUGCGCCCAGGAGGCAUCCCGGCCCUGGUCGGGGAGCCAGUGCCCAGUGCCCCGCGGGCCCAUCCUGGGCGAACCUCCCUCGCCGCCGGCGUGCGCAGGUGGGCCGCAGCCCUGCCCAGGGAUUGAAUGCUCCCUUGCCGAGGCGAAUCGGCCUCCGUUCCGGGAGUUCCAGUCUGGCCCUGGCGCUCCGGAGCCGUUGGCCCCUUCCGCCCAAACGGAAGACGUGUUCCCCCCUCCCUUCUUUGUGUUUCCCUCGCACAAAAGGCCCGGUGCGUGUUGGGGCCGGCCUUUGCUCGGCCGCCUGGAGGCCCCGGGCGGAGCCUGUGCCAAACCGGCCGGGGCGGGCCGCGCGGGGCCGCAGGGCGCAGACCUCCCACCGCUUCCCGGUCCCUCCCGGGCCUUUCUUUUCGGUUCUCUCGCUUCCCCGAGUUCCUGCUCACAUUCAAGCGACGUCUCCGCCUGGCUGCCAGGGAGAGCUGCGUCCUUGAGCCGAGCUGGCCAGAGGUGGCGGUGGGAGGCCAGGCUCCCGGCACCGGAAAGAAAAGAGAGGACAAAAAGAAGCGAAUUUCCGCCGGUGUUUCUGGUCCGGAAGCCAGGAGAGAUGCGUGGAACGGCGGCGUUCGGCGCCCGACCGUGCGCGGUGAACCCGGAGACCUCGAGCGGUUCAGGGGCUGCGAAGAGCCUCGUUGGAGAAAGCAGCGGCCGCUGAGCGCGGGAGAGACCCUCUCCAGGUUCCCAGUAGGUGACAGCCACGCACCCUGGGUCUGCGGGGGGGGGGGCAGGAGGAGAGUGGGCGCUUGGGGCCCAGCGUCCCACUGCGGGAUGCACCAGGAAGGAGCUGCAGGGCGGAAGGAGGGGAACCGCUCGCCUCCGCGGGCAGAGGCGGGCGCACUGCUGCGGCGCUGCUCGGAACUUGCUCUAAGAAGUAGCACCGCGAGUCUCCAGCAGCGCGUGCCUCCGUCGCCCUCUGAGGCGUUUGGGGAAGGCCUGAUAUGGCUCCUGGCAGCCACGCCACCCUCUCUACUCCACUCCCUCUCUGGACCUGGCGAGCCUGACUGGUGCGGCUCUGACCCCAUCCUCGAACAGGUGUCCCCCGCACCGCGGCGUGCGCUCUUCCUUGGCUCUCUCCGGCACGCGCCUUUCAGGAACCAGCCCGGGAACCGACCACUCCAGCCCCGGUCAGGCUCUGUCGAUAGUGGCGGCGGCGGCGGUGUGUGUGUGUGUGUGUGUGUGUGUGUGUGUGGCUCGUCGCCGUGCUCCGGCUGCUACCUCUGGGCCGCCACAGGAAGGGGAAGAUGCGCGGGGCGAGUCGGGGACCCGGGUAAGGCGCUCUCGGGUGCCCGGAGCCCUCGCUCGGCUUGGCCGGAUCCCAUCGCAAGUCGGGAAUCCGCUGCGGCUCUGAGAGCUCCCCAGUCUCAUCUCCGAGCGGGAGCCCGCGCUCUGGGGGGAACCCAGCCGCGCGGGUGCAUGGCCGAAGGCCCGCGGAACACACUGGACACCGCGUGGGCGUGCGACUCCUGGCAGGUGGGUUCCAGCCCACAGCGCCGCCGCAGAGCCCGGGAGUUCUGCCUUGCGCGCCUGGGCGGUGAAGGGAGAUGGGGAAAGUGAAAGGCAGGAGACUGGGCAUGUCACCUGUUUCUCCACUUCCCCCUCCCUCUCCAACACACACUUCCCUCCAAUACCUAUACCUGCAUCUUAUCUUUGAAUUUCUCUCUUCAUUAAAAUGACACACCACCAGGCACCACAGGAGAACUACCCGAGCCCUCCCGCCGCCUCCCUGCACACCUCUGUAGUCCCAGGUGGGAAAUACAGACCACUCAGACCCGGUCUAAUCCAAAUCUCUGUCUAACCACUGCGCGCCGCCCCGCCCCUGCACCUGCACCUGCCCGGGCAUGAGAAGGGCUCAAAGCAGAGUCUGCUUGCUCCUCUCUUUGAGAUCCUUGGGAUCUUCUCUCCCUUUGGGGUCUCACAGUCUAUUUCCUGGAGAUUUGGGGGAUAGCGCUCCCCCCACCUCUUGCACAGUCUGUGUCCCCCACCUCUGUGACCACCAGUAAAUGGAAUGCAAGAAGUGCUUUUUGAAGCAAAUGCAUGCCCAUGUGAAUAACAAAGCAUUAAAUACUAUGGAAAGCAACUGUCCCUGUUGCAUGGACAUCACCCUUGCCACCAGCCACUGCCAGGUUCUUGCUGAACAUCUUUUCCAGGCUGUGUGCAUGCACGCUCUGUAACCUUUUCCAGUUUCCAGUAAGGCUUGAACGUGUCUUCCAUACCAACACAAGGUCCUCCUGGUCCUUUUAACACUCUAGGGCAGCACCAAGCAAUCGCCUUUGGAUCCUGCUCUCCUUUGCCCUGGGCGUGUGCAGCCAUGGGAAACCUGUCCCAGCUGAAAUCCCUGCUCACCUGUUUCCACGGCAAGCCUGGUUGGAGAAAGAAAUGUGCAACGUGCAAACGGAACAUUCCUUGGCUGGACUGUGUGCAGGCGCAGAACUCCAGCUCUGAGACUGAGAGAAUUCCUAACCACUCCUCUUCCAGUAAGCUCAAAAGUUCCUCUGCUCCUAGGGUGACUUCUCUGAGCAAGGAAGCCAUGCUGUUUACAGGAUCCCUGCUAAUGCUCCUUGGAAAGCACCAGAAGGCAGUCCAAGUCCUUGGGCCUCUGCUGCCCACGUGGGAAACCUGGAUAAAGCUCCUGGCUUCUGGCCCAGCCCUGGCUGUUGUGGCCAUUUGGGAAAUGAACCAGCAGAUGGGAGAUCUCUCUCUUUCUCUGUCUGUCUCUUUGUCUCUGUAACUCUGCUUUUCAAAUAAAUGAAUCUUAAACAAAUAAAUAAAUAAAACUCAAGCAGUACUAAGUCUAUCUGGUACAAGCAAACUUCCUCCACCAGGUCCCCAGAGGCAACUUCUGUUACAGUUUCUUGUUUAGUCCAGAAAGAAUGCUGGCUGUACAAAUAUUUACUCAUCGGUCUCUUUCACACCAGUGCUGGCACAUGCUGCACAGGCCUGUCACAGAAGAUUCUCUCUCUGGCUCCUGUAACCACCAA